Molecule: long non-coding RNA, 425 nt
Filed under: Sus scrofa (pig)
Lineage: Eukaryota; Metazoa; Chordata; Mammalia; Artiodactyla; Suidae
Description: lncRNA (ENSSSCG00070005654.1)
Source: RNAcentral
AAGCCGUACACCCUAUAAAAAAGGAGGUGGAGAAGAUCAUUCCAGGACAAUGAAAUCUUUUGCAGUAUGCUCCUUUGGGGAUCCUGACUCAGCUGGCAUCCUGUGGAAUGUUCUGGGUUGUUUGCCUUCCCUUCAAAACAAGUCCCCUGCACCAGUCUUUGUAGUCUUCGCACCAGCUGUUUUCACUUCCAAAGUGGAUCAUUCAGAAUGCCUAAUGAAGAGUUCAGGGGCUUCUUUGUGAAGAUGAGCAUUCACAUCUGCCUUUGAUCAGGCCCAUGGCAGCCCAGGAUCAGAUCAGAAAGCAAAUGAGAUGAUAAAGUGGAUGAAACCACAGUAAGUAUAAUAUCGAGGGUGGGGGGACAGGGAAGGGGAGAGGCUGCCCCGUGGAGCAUAAAGCCUGCCUGGGCUUUCACAUCAAGGCUGGC